GAUGAAGAACGCAGCGAAAUGCGAUAAGUAGUGUGAAUUGCAGAAUUCAGUGAAUCAUCGAAUCUUUGAACGCACAUUGCGCCCGCCAGUAUUCUGGCGGGCAUGCCUGUUCGAGCGUCAUUUCAACCCUCAGGCCCCCAGUGCCUGGUGUUGGGGAUCGGCAGCAGGGCGUCAAGCCCGCCGGCCCCGAAAUCUAGUGGCGGUCUCGCUGUAGUCCUCCUCUGCGUAGUAGCACAACCUCGCAGUUGGAACGCGGCGGUGGCCAUGCCGUUAAACACCCCACUUCUGAAAGUUGACCUCGGAUCAGGUAGGAAUACCCGCUGAACUUAAGCAUAUCAAUAAGCGGAGGA
RNAcentral lists this unclassified non-coding RNA (350 nucleotides) under soil metagenome. RNAcentral describes it as "partial contains 5.8S ribosomal RNA, internal transcribed spacer 2, and large subunit ribosomal RNA". The stretch from base 1 to 120 matches the Rfam family "5.8S ribosomal RNA", at positions 35 to 154 of the family's 154-position model. The record is from RNAcentral.